This 76-nucleotide transfer RNA is filed under the name Staphylococcus epidermidis. RNAcentral's name for it is "tRNA-Asp". It matches the Rfam family "tRNA". From Rfam's summary of the family: Transfer RNA (tRNA) molecules are approximately 80 nucleotides in length. The record is from RNAcentral. Lineage: Bacteria; Bacillati; Bacillota; Bacilli; Caryophanales; Staphylococcaceae.
GGUCCCGUAGUGUAGCGGUUAACACGCCUGCCUGUCACGCAGGAGAUCGUGGGUUCGAUUCCCGUCGGGACCGCCA